GUAGUCGGAUUCGUAUCAAUCCAUAUGUGUUGGGGUGGAUUGGAGUGUAAUUUAAACUAAAUUCUACCCCAAUCCACUCCAACACAUAUAGAUUUAGGUGAAUCCGGCA
Sorghum bicolor (sorghum) is the source of this 109-nucleotide microRNA precursor. It matches the Rfam family "MIR5565 microRNA precursor family". The record is from Rfam. NCBI's taxonomy places the organism in Eukaryota, Viridiplantae, Streptophyta, Magnoliopsida, Poales, Poaceae.